UGAGAAGUAAUUUUUAAAAAUGAUAUGGAGCCAAAUUUUUUUUAACCAACUUGGAAGUGUUUGGAUAGAGGAUGAAAAACUCUUUCAUGUGCUUGAUAUGGCUUCUCAAACUAUUAAUAAUUCUUGGAGAAAUUAAAUUUAAGCAUAAGUUGCCCAAAUUUUAUGCUAAUUAAGAUCACAUUUCCAAACCCCCUUCUCGCUAGUGAGUUUUUAGUUUUGUCUUCAUGAAUUAUUAAUAAGCUUUAGAAGGUCAUUCAAAAACCUGCAACGUGUUGCAGCAACAAAAUAUNAUUUAAAAAUUGGAACCCUAGGUCAUGUUACCCAAGAAAAAUUUUUCAAGCAACAUUGUGUGAAAAAUCAUCAUUGCAAAUCAUCGUGUAUAACACCUUAGUAUCAGUAUCAUUUUGUUUCUAGUUGAGCUGGCUCAUUUUUUAUGUGACUUGAAGUUGUGAAAGGCCCAAAUAUUUGGCCCUCUUCUUCAGUUGUUUCAUACAGAGCUCGUAAUUUACCUAUUAUGCAUGUUCUUAUCUGAUUUCUGAGCCCAUCCCACACGGCUUACCGCCUCAUCUAUCAGNAUCAUGGUUAAGUAAUAUGUUGUUUUAAUGAAACAGUGAAAAUGUUAAUUAAUCAGUACUCAUUAAUCAGUUUAGUUGUUGUUAGAUAUUUACAUGGGCCUUUUUGCACUAUGCAAUUUUCUAUAUUUUCCUUUGCAAAACAAAUCUGUCACCAAUGGUNAAUGUACUAUGUGGUGUACUCGCUGACACCUACAAAUUCUGUUUUGGAGAUAUAGAUUACUGGAAGUGUGUAAAACCCCUCUUUGAGNCUUUUACAACUGGUCCCUAAAAAGAGGAUCUAACAGAUUAGGUUAGUUCAAAAACCNAGUACAGGCAGAUGAUUACUUCAUCAUUAUAACAAAGCAAGUUUAGAGCUAGUAAAGUGAGCUGCAAACAAGGCAAGCCAAAAACAGCAACUUCAAGAAAUAGAAGGCAUGGAUUUUAAUCUCAACAAGAAGCACAUGNCUUCCCGCUUCCUCCUUGCAGACACUACAGCACUCAAUCAAUGACAACUGGUUGUUGCCAGCCCACAACUACUGUAGUUGAUGAAACAUUCAAGCUAUGCUGUUGAUGCUGAUCCUCCUUUUGUGCAAUUACAAACACAUUGAUGUUGGAAAGGGCAGGAGCUNGGGGUCCGUGGCUCCAGCCCUGUAUGCCUAACACAUGAGUAGAGUGUGUUUGAUGUGUUGUUCUCUCCUGUGCNAUGAGGANUUUUCUCCAGGUUCUCUGUGCAUUUUUUCCACCUGACAACUGGUGAGGCCAGAUGAUGUUGAGGCCGGGCAUGAUGGUCAAAAUUGCCAGGCUUUGAGAUGCCACCAGCUGCCAUUCCACAGCUUNCUUACUUACAGCUGCUUCAUUAGACAUUUUUAGUUGCUUUCUCUUCAGGUAUUUCUGGUCCCCGAAUGAAAACUAACGAGAAUCCAAAGAAGAAAGUACUGCUAGCUACAGAGAAAAGUUUUCAAUGCUUGAGAGAAAUAUCAGUCUGGUUAAAAGACCAUGGCACAGUUGCCGAGGACGGAAUAAGUAUCUACUAAAAAAGUAGAGUUUGUAUAUAAUUUUAAUACUAUGUUUAUAGUAACUACACAAUAGACCAUUUUCAAGUUUCAAAUUACCAUUUUCCUACUUGAUUACAGACUCAUUUACACAGGGUUAACCUCAAAACAGUAUAUUCACAAAUACCAACGGUAAAGUAAAGAAUGCACAACUUCAACAAUACAAACACUUUGAAACUCAACAGACCUUCAUUGGAACACGUGAAUAUUCUGCACAAAAUCAAGGCUAACCCUGUGCAACAGAGGACUCGAAACUGGAGUAUAGCCCACUUCCAAGAUAUGUUUCAUUUGUAACACANUAAUGUUUUAGUACGAGGCUACAUGAAUCAUAUUAAUUUUCAUUUCUACUAUAUUGUAAAUCACUGAUAUAUUCAUGUAGCCUCAUAUUGAAACCUUCGCGUGUGACAAGCGAAGUGGGCUAUUGAAGUGACAAUACACAUCACAUGCAUGGACCUUUGAACCCAAUAAAGCCGUCUUCAUUAUUGUGUUUGAAAUAUGAUCUUUAUACAAACUAAAGGCAAAUGUCUUUAUUUAAAGAAUACUAAUGAGGAUGACUUUAUCAGAGAUAAAGAUGCANCUACUGUAAGUUUAAAUAUGAAAACUUUACUGAAAUUUUUUAAAAACAUGCAAACUCUGUGUCUGCAAACUUUAUGUUGAAAUUUGGUUUUCCACUGCCCUCAAUCAAACCUAAUCAGUCNGUUCCUUUCAUAUUUUUGACUGGCGGCAGCUAAAAACCAGAUUUGAGGGUGCAGCUCGCAGGCUCAGAGUUCACAUGUUUAUGACAGUCUCUUAAAAUAAUUAUGGUCACUUGUUGCACACAAACAUUAACAAAUUUUGUUGACUAGUGACCUUGUUUUGAAAUUGGCAUGCUGUCUUUAACUUCUAGGAGUCUUUUUAGACUCACUGUGCAUGGCAGUGAUGAAAUAAAAUAUUGAUUGAGUAUAAAA
RNAcentral lists this long non-coding RNA (2553 nucleotides) under Actinia tenebrosa (Australian red waratah sea anemone). RNAcentral describes it as "uncharacterized LOC116296248". Lineage: Eukaryota; Metazoa; Cnidaria; Anthozoa; Actiniaria; Actiniidae. The record is from RNAcentral.